AUGGCUUUGGAUCGCAGGGCCUUGCCGCAGCCGGCGGCCGCCUGCGUUCCCGCCGUCCAGGCGGCGAGGCCGUGGGCGGGGGACAGCGGUACUAAUUCGUCUACGGAGGGGAGGGAAAGGGACAUACUGCAGGGGAGCGCCGUGGAGGUGGAUGUGCCGCUGCUGUGGGACGACGAGGGGAGGAUGAAGCGGGAGCUGGUCGCCUGGGCCAAGGCCGUGGCGUCCAUGGCCAUCAGGGAGUCGAUGCGGUGCUAA
RNAcentral lists this ribosomal RNA (255 nucleotides) under Triticum aestivum (bread wheat). RNAcentral describes it as "partial small subunit ribosomal RNA". Lineage: Eukaryota; Viridiplantae; Streptophyta; Magnoliopsida; Poales; Poaceae. The record is from RNAcentral.